RNAcentral lists this ribosomal RNA (894 nucleotides) under uncultured bacterium. RNAcentral describes it as "bacterial SSU rRNA". It matches the Rfam family "Bacterial small subunit ribosomal RNA", at positions 8 to 881 of the family's 1533-position model. The record is from RNAcentral.
AGAGUUUGAUCCUGGCUCAGGACGAACGCUGGCGGCGUGCCUAAUACAUGCAAGUCGAGCGGACCGAAAGGAGAGCUCGCUCUCCUUUCAGUCAGCGGCGGACGGGUGAGUAACACGUGGGUAACCUGCCUGUAAGACCGGGAUAACUCGCGGAAACGCGAGCUAAUACCGGAUAGGUCUCGUGGCCGCAUGGCGACGGGAGGAAAGAUGGCGCGAGCUAUCGCUUACAGAUGGGCCCGCGGCGCAUUAGCUAGUUGGUGGGGUAACGGCCCACCAAGGCGACGAUGCGUAGCCGACCUGAGAGGGUGAUCGGCCACAUUGGGACUGAGACACGGCCCAAACUCCUACGGGAGGCAGCAGUAGGGAAUCUUCCGCAAUGGGCGAAAGCCUGACGGAGCAACGCCGCGUGAGCGAAGAAGGCCUUCGGGUCGUAAAGCUCUGUUGUCAGGGAAGAACAAGUACCGGAGUAACUGCCGGUACCUUGACGGUACCUGACCAGAAAGCCCCGGCUAACUACGUGCCAGCAGCCGCGGUAAUACGUAGGGGGCGAGCGUUGUCCGGAAUCAUUGGGCGUAAAGCGCGCGCAGGCGGUCCCUUAAGUCUGAUGUGAAAUCUUGCGGCUCAACCGCAAGAGGUCAUUGGAAACUGGGGGACUUGAGUGCAGGAGAGGGAAGCGGAAUUCCAUGUGUAGCGGUGAAAUGCGUAGAGAUAUGGAGGAACACCAGUGGCGAAGGCGGCUUCCUGGCCUGUAACUGACGCUCAGGCGCGAAAGCGUGGGGAGCAAACAGGAUUAGAUACCCUGCUAGUCCACGCCGUAAACGAUGAGUGCUAGGUGUUGGAGGGGUUUACCCUUCAGUGCUGGAGCUAACGCAUUAAGCACUCCGCCUGGGGAGU